ACUCAAAGGAAUUGACGGGGGCCCGCACAAGCGGUGGAACAUGUGGUUUAAUUCGAAGCUACGCGAAAAACCUCACCAGGGCUUGACAUACAGGAAGUAGUGAAAUGAAAGUGGAACGACCCGUUAAGUCGGGAGCCUGAACAGGUGCUGCAUGGCUGUCGUCAGCUCGUGUCGUGAGAUGUUGGGUUAAGUCCCGCAACGAGCGCAACCAUUAUCCUUUGUUGCAACUUUGGUCCAGCUUGCUGGGCCAGAAGCACUCUAAGGAGACUGCCUGGGAUAACCAGGAGGAAGGUGGAGAUGACGUCAAGUCAGUACGGCCUUUAUGCCCUGGGCGACACACGUGUUACAAUGGGUGGGACAAAGGGUUGCCAACCCGCGAGGGGGAGCUAAUCUCAAAAACCCACCCCCAGUUCAGAUCGCAGUCUGCAAUUCGACUGCGUGAAGCCGGAAUCGCUAGUAAUGGGAGAUCAGCACGCUCCCGUGAAUACGUUCCCGGGCCUUGUACACACCGCCCGU
This 516-nucleotide ribosomal RNA is filed under the name uncultured bacterium. RNAcentral describes it as "partial 16S ribosomal RNA". It matches the Rfam family "Bacterial small subunit ribosomal RNA", at positions 899 to 1397 of the family's 1533-position model. The record is from RNAcentral.